This 37-nucleotide ribosomal RNA is filed under the name Rhizophagus intraradices. RNAcentral's name for it is "partial 26S ribosomal RNA". Lineage: Eukaryota; Fungi; Glomeromycota; Glomeromycetes; Glomerales; Glomeraceae. RNAcentral also lists the same sequence under 3 other names. The record is from RNAcentral.
UGACCUCAAAUCAGGCAAGAAUACCCGCUGAACUUAA